This 21-nucleotide non-coding RNA is filed under the name Arabidopsis thaliana (thale cress). The record is from RNAcentral. Lineage: Eukaryota; Viridiplantae; Streptophyta; Magnoliopsida; Brassicales; Brassicaceae.
UCCUAGUGACCUGAACUCGCU